GACGAACGCUGGCGGCGUGCUUAACACAUGCAAGUCGAACGGAAAGGCCUCUUUCGGGGGGUACUCGAGUGGCGAACGGGUGAGUAACACGUGAGUAACCUGCCCUUGACUUUGGGAUAACUUCAGGAAACUGGGGCUAAUACCGGAUAGGAGCUCCUGCUGCAUGGUGGGGGUUGGAAAGUUUCGGCGGUUGGGGAUGGACUCGCGGCUUAUCAGCUUGUUGGUGGGGUAGUGGCUUACCAAGGCUUUGACGGGUAGCCGGCCUGAGAGGGUGACCGGCCACAUUGGGACUGAGAUACGGCCCAGACUCCUACGGGAGGCAGCAGUGGGGAAUAUUGCACAAUGGGUGGAAGCCUGAUACAGCAACGCCGUGUGCGGGAUGACGGCCUUCGGGUUGGAAACCGCUUUCGCUCAUGACGAAGCUUUGUGUGACGGUAGUGGGUAAAGAAGCACCGGCUAACUACGUG
Molecule: ribosomal RNA, 467 nt
Filed under: uncultured bacterium
Lineage: Bacteria
Description: partial 16S ribosomal RNA
Rfam family: Bacterial small subunit ribosomal RNA
Source: RNAcentral